AUGUUUUACAAAUCACUACUGUUUGUCCUAGAAAUUCAUCAAAGACUGGUCUGGCCACAGGUGUUCCUGCACAGGGGCGUCCCAGAAAGUCCCAUGAAGGUUCUUGUCAAUACAGGGAAUUGUUACUUAUCCUUCAUGACCUGACUUAUCCUGACUUAUCCUUAUGAUUGCAUGAACAAAUGCAAUCAUUUGUGACACUUUCCUGUGUCAUCGAAGACUUCCUAAUAACUGCCUUCUGUGAGUUCACAUAGGACUUUGACCACAAAUCACAGCAUCGCAUUGAGGUGACCUGGCUCAAAACUCACUUCCUUGGAGUACCCCAUGAUGUCCCUGCCAAAGCCAGAUAAGUCCCUUUGUUAAAUGUUCUGGUCUCUAGAAUUAUCCUUCAUGGCACAUAUUAUAAUUAUAGUUAAAUGACAAAUUGGGUAAUUAUUUCUUCAUGCCCGCCUCCUUCAUUGGUAUAUAAGCAGACUGUUUCAAUAUUCUCAUGCUCUGUCCUCAGAGCAUCACAACAAGUUAGUGCCCAGGAAACGUUUAUUCACUAAAUGAAUGAAAGGAUGGAUGAAUAAUCUUCCAAAAAUAUUUUAAACAUAAAGGUUGUCUGGAGAGGAUUAAAAUAUAAAGAAAGAGUUGUCUUUACAAAGAGAAAUAUUUCCUUUUGCUUGUAAUCUACACCAGCUUUAUCAUCAACAUGCAUGUGGGAUUAUUAUAAGCCACAUGUCGUGCUAACCUUUUUUACUUGCUUUGUUUCAUUUAAAGAUAAUAUUGGUCUUAGGAGAUGCGUACUACUAAGCCCGCCUCUUUAUUUUGAUAUGAAGCACUAGAGGCUCAGAGAGAUUACAUAAUUGCCUAUGGUCACACAAAUAGUAAGUGGUGGAACCAGAAUUUGUCUGAUUUGAAUUUAAGUUCUCAGCCAUUGCCUUUAGUCUAUUUGGGCUGCUAUAACAAAUAUAAACCAGGUGGCUUAUAAACAACAGAAAUGUGUUUCUCACAGCUCUGGAGGCUGGAUGUCUCAAAUCACGGUGCCAGCAUGGUCAAAUUCUAGUUAGGAAUAUUUCCAGGUUGCAGAUGACUGCUUUUUUGUAUCUUCACACAGCAGAAAGAGAGGUAGGGAGCUCUCUGGGGUCUCCUUUAUACCUGCACUAAUCCCAUUAAUGGGGACUCCAACUUGACCUAAUUACCUUCCAAAGACUCUGCUCCUAAUAUCAUCACAUUGGAGGUUAGGAUUUCAAUAUAUGAAUUUUAGAGAGACACAAGCAUUCAGUCCACUGAAUCUUCUGGAAUGUUCUGUCUUAACAUUGAACCAGAAUUUCUUUCUGGAUAACCUCUCACUUCAUACAAUUGGGUCUCUAUAGCCAGGGGAAAUAGGCUGGGGUUUUUUUUUUUCACCGUAGCUGUCCUCAGUACACAAAGACUCAUUCUCUGACCAAAUAAUCCCCCUCCAGGCUUAAUCAUUCCCAAUUCCUCCAACCAUUCCACUUGGGACUGGAACAGAACUUUUCUGACCUUUGUUUGGUGCUUUUGUUUUCACUUGAGUAAUUUCCUUUCCCUUGGAGAAUUAGCCAGUUCCUACAUCUGAAAGAGGAAAGGGUGAAUAGCAGGAAAAAGAGAAAACGACAACCAACAACAAAUGUGUCGGGAUCUCUUCUUUGUUGAAGAGAGAUGACAUAGCAGAAUGAGCCCAUCAACUCUAGAGAGAGACUGCUUAGGUUCAAAUCCUGGCUCUACCACCCACUGGCCACAUGAGUUUUAACAAUUACAUAAAUUCUAAAUCAGCUCAAUUGAAUUCCUGGACUGCUGAGUUCACCAUGGCUAACAGAGAUUGAGUACCACCCUACCUGCCAUUUCCUUGCAGCCAAGAGAGGCUGCUACCUCCUGACACCCUAGAGAUAUUUGUUGAGCACUUCCUAUACUCCUGCUGUUAUAACCAUUUUGCCUGCAGGAACUCAUUUUGUCCUCACAGCAGCCCUAUGAAGUGGAUCCUCUUAUUAUCCCCACCGCACAGAUGUAGAAAAGAACCCUGAGAAAUUGUCUUGCCCAAGCUCCUACAGCUGGUAAGUGGAGGAGCAGAUAGUUUAGCUGUAGAGGCUGUGCUCCUAACCACUCUGUCCUGCUGCCUCAACUUUAUAAACCCAUCUUUAGGGACCUUCACAAUCUGCACGCUUGAACAGCUCACCUCAUAUUCUACCACUCCGAGCGAUUUGACUCCUCUGACAAACUCUUAUCUCCCGGACAGUCUUUAUCAUCCUUGCCUGCCCUCCCUUAUGAGGGUUAUUAAAAUUGG
Callithrix jacchus (white-tufted-ear marmoset) is the source of this 2284-nucleotide long non-coding RNA. NCBI's taxonomy places the organism in Eukaryota, Metazoa, Chordata, Mammalia, Primates, Cebidae. The record is from Ensembl.